Molecule: ribosomal RNA, 292 nt
Filed under: uncultured bacterium
Lineage: Bacteria
Description: partial 16S ribosomal RNA
Source: RNAcentral
GGACUACCGGGGUUUCUAAUCCUGUUUGCUCCCCUAGCUUUCGCGCCUCAGCGUCAGUUUCAGCCCAGAAAACCGUCUUCACCACCGGUGUUCUUCCACAUAUCUACGCAUUUCACCGCUACACGUGGAAUUCCGUUUUCCCUAACUGUACUCUAGUCUUAUAGUUUCAAAUGCAGCUCCGGGGUUGAGCCCCGGAAUUUCACAUCUGACUUAUAUAACCGCCUACGCGCCCUUUACGCCCAGUAAUUCCGAUCAAUGCUUGCACCCUCCGUAUUACCGCGGCUGCUGGCAC